This 1619-nucleotide long non-coding RNA is filed under the name Canis lupus familiaris (dog). RNAcentral describes it as "lncRNA (ENSCAFG00000055689.1, ENSCAFG00805028087.1, ENSCAFG00845019882.1)". Lineage: Eukaryota; Metazoa; Chordata; Mammalia; Carnivora; Canidae. The record is from RNAcentral.
GACACGAGAUAGCGGAGGCCAGAGCCCUUGGCAUGUGCUGUCUGGGCAGCCAAGGCUGUGAGGUCUGCUAGCCAUCAGCUACUGGACAAUCGCCUUAAGGACUUAGAUUACUAAAAGAAGAUUGCAAUUAUUGAUUGAAAAAUGUGUCUUCAUUUUAAUCAGGACAAAACCUCAAAUGGGGAAUCUUCUCUGUUCUCUUAAAACUGCCAAUGCCAGGGAAGACAACCAGACUGAGGAACUCUUUCAGAAUACAGAAGAUCAAAGAGAUGUAACAGCCAGACACAACAAGGACUACUGGACUGGAUCCUGGAUGGAGGGGAGAGACACUACUUCAAGGGUAUCGUAUCACUGAGGCAGAUGGCACAAUUUGAGUAUGGACUAUGACCCUGUAUCAAUACAAUAGUUGUAUUGACACAAUGUUAAAUCUCCUGAAUUGGAGAACUGUAUUUGGUUAUGUUUUCAGGCAGAGGGAGAAGCGGGCUCCACGCAGGGAGCCUGACGUGGUACUCGAUCUGGGUCUCCAGGAUCAUGCCCCGGGCCGCAGGCGGCACCAAACCACUGUGCCACUGGGGCUGCCCACAAAUUAAAAUAUUUAAAGAUAAACUAACUCUCAAAUGGUUUGGGAGAACGUAUGCAAGCAUAUAUAUAUAUAUGGGAGAGAAGAAGGGGGAGAGAAGUGGUAAAGCAAUCAGUCUGGGUUCAGAGUACAGAGGACUUCAUUGAACCAUUCUUACAACUCUGCUUUAAAUUUUAAAUUAUUUUGGAAGGAAGACAUUUUUAUUUAUUUAUUUUCACUUGUGAUGUGUUUUCGUUUUUGUUUUUUUGAAGAGGCAGUAAAAAGUCGUAUUUAAAGGAACUGACAUCUUAUUCAGUGUCAAUUUAUCUGUCAUCGUAUGUCUUUAAGUUCCACCAUUAUAUGAUCCCAAUAAUUACUUCAUGUACAACAUAAGCUUAAAUUGUUUCUUAAUUUGCUGUGUCUUGCUCAAAAGCUGCUUUGGGAGGAAAAAUGAAAUUUUUGUUUUUUAUGGAAAUGGGUAAAACAGAUGGUUUAUACUUUUCUUCUAAUAGUAUAAUGUGGCUUAAAUCACAUCAUGCCCUUUGGCUUUUCAUCUAAGUCAGAACAAAUAAAUUCCUAGUAGUUGAUCAGACCUUCUUUCUGUCCCGGCCCCUCCUUAGCCAGUGUGGCUAGAGGUCCUUGGGAAGCCUCAUCUCUCAUACAUGUUUAGUCAUUAAAGGGUACUCAUUUUUAGCAAGCAAGGCCAACAAAAAUGUGGCUUAUUUGACACUAAAAUAUUCUUCCUUCCAUUCAAAUGGCAGAUGAUCAAAAGGAUACAAGCAAGAAUAUUUUGCUUGGCACGUGGCCUAAAAGUUCUAAAUUUAUCUAUUCUAUUUUUGCUUCAUAUUCAGAUUGGAUUAGUUACUAGGCAACUGAAGUAUUUAAUUUCAUUUGCUAAUAGUUACAUUUUAAUAGAGGCAGCUAGUGUACAUGACCAAUGCUGCCAAUACAAACACAGCCCAACACCCAAUCUCUGCUGAGCAGUAGGGUUUACUACUACUUCAUUCUUGUUGCAGACAAACACUGUUCAUACUCUUAUAUUUUGUUUAUUUGACUUUCACAU